This 305-nucleotide ribosomal RNA is filed under the name uncultured bacterium. Its description in RNAcentral is "bacterial SSU rRNA". It matches the Rfam family "Bacterial small subunit ribosomal RNA", at positions 334 to 637 of the family's 1533-position model. The record is from RNAcentral.
UUUGCCUACGGGAGGCAGCAGUGAGGAAUAUUGGUCAAUGGGAGGAAUCCUGAACCAGCCAUGCCGCGUGCAGGACGACGGCUCUACGAGUUGUAAACUGCUUUUGUACCGGGGUAAAAUGCCUUACGAGUAGGGUUUUGAAAGUACGGUACGAAUAAGGAUCGGCUAACUCCGUGCCAGCAGCCGCGGUAAUACGGAGGAUGCGAGCGUUAUCCGGAUUUAUUGGGUUUAAAGGGUGCGUAGGCGGAAUGCCAAGUCAGCGGUAAAAUCGCGGGGCUCAACCUCGCUCCGCCGUUGAAACUGGG